GGGGUGUGCUCAGAGCAGGGGGUCUGAAGAAACAGCUCCUCUGUUUACAGCAUAUCCAACAGGAAUCUGGGUGCACUGUGACAAGGGACACAAAACUUGUGGCUUUCCUAUGAGCAAAUACCCAACCCGU
RNAcentral lists this small nucleolar RNA (130 nucleotides) under Tursiops truncatus (common bottlenose dolphin). Its description in RNAcentral is "Small nucleolar RNA SNORA11 (ENSTTRG00000023023.1)". It matches the Rfam family "Small nucleolar RNA SNORA11". From Rfam's summary of the family: U107 (SNORA11) is a member of the H/ACA class of snoRNAs that guide the sites of modification of uridines to pseudouridines. This snoRNA was identified by RT-PCR from blood cells and its expression confirmed by Northern blot analysis. Lineage: Eukaryota; Metazoa; Chordata; Mammalia; Artiodactyla; Delphinidae. The record is from Rfam by way of RNAcentral.